GAUGAACGCUGGCGGCGUGCUUAACACAUGCAAGUCGAACGAAGCAAUUUUGAAACUUCGGUUUCAAAAUUGACUUAGUGGCGGACGGGUGAGUAACGCGUAGGUAACCUGCCUUAUACAGGGGGAUAACAGCUGGAAACGGCUGCUAAUACCGCAUAACACAGUGAAGUCGCAUGACUUUAUUGCAAAAGAGUGAUCGGUAUAAGAUGGACCUGCGUCUGAUUAGCUAGUUGGUGAGGUAAUGGCUCACCAAGGCGACGAUCAGUAGCCGACGUGAGAGAGUGAUCGGCCACAUUGGGACUGAGACACGGCCCAAACUCCUACGGGAGGCAGCAGUGGGGAAUAUUGCACAAUGGGGGAAACCCUGAUGCAGCGACGCCGCGUGGGUGAUGAAGUAUUUCGGUAUGUAAAGCUCUAUCAGCAGGGACGAAAAAAGACGGUACCUGACUAAGAAACCCCGGCUAACUACGUGCCAGCAGCCGCCGUAA
Molecule: ribosomal RNA, 488 nt
Filed under: uncultured bacterium
Lineage: Bacteria
Description: partial 16S ribosomal RNA
Rfam family: Bacterial small subunit ribosomal RNA
Source: RNAcentral